UACGUAGGGUGCAAGCGUUAAUCGGAAUUACUGGGCGUAAAGCGUGCGCAGGCGGUUUUGUAAGACAGGCGUGAAAUCCCCUGGCUCAACCUGGGAAUGGCGCUUGUGACUGCAAAGGUGGAGUGGGGCAGAGGGGGAUGGAAUUCCGCGUGUAGCAGUGAAAUUCGUAGAUAUGCGGAGGAACACCGAUGGCGAAGGCAAUCCCCUGGGCCUGCACUGACGCUCAUGCACGACAGCGUGGGGAGCAAACAGG
Molecule: ribosomal RNA, 253 nt
Filed under: uncultured bacterium
Lineage: Bacteria
Description: partial 16S ribosomal RNA
Rfam family: Bacterial small subunit ribosomal RNA
Source: RNAcentral